AUACGGAGGGUGCAAGCGUUAUUCGGAAUCACUGGGCGUAAAGGACGCGUAGGCGGGUUGGCAAGUCAGAUGUGAAAUCCUACAGCUUAACUGUAGAACUGCAUUUGAAACUGCUAACCUUGAGUAUGGGAGGGGGAGAUGGAAUUAGUGGUGUAGGGGUAAAAUCCGUAGAUAUCACUAGGAAUACCGAAAGCGAAGGCGAUCUCCUGGAACAUAACUGACGCUAAGGCGUGAAAGCGUGGGGAGCAAACAGGAUUAGAAACCCUAGUAGUCC
This 274-nucleotide ribosomal RNA is filed under the name uncultured bacterium. RNAcentral describes it as "partial 16S ribosomal RNA". It matches the Rfam family "Bacterial small subunit ribosomal RNA", at positions 523 to 796 of the family's 1533-position model. The record is from RNAcentral.